UCCAAGUGGCUCUACCUAGCGGUAGAGGAAGGUCCGCUCUCCACUGGAAUCCGAUUUAGUACUAGAGGGAGGCUGCUCUGAAAAUCAAAAACAAAGAAAAUUCAGCAACGCUGAGUAGGAACCCCAAAAGUCAAAUCAAGAUGAAUACAUGAUCAAAAUUCAAUCAAUCAUCCCAUUGGCGUAUAUCAAAUACCCGAAGGAGCACUCCCCCAACAGCGGAU
This 221-nucleotide long non-coding RNA is filed under the name Musa acuminata (dwarf banana). RNAcentral's name for it is "long non-coding RNA (MACU_LNC007159)". The record is from RNAcentral. Lineage: Eukaryota; Viridiplantae; Streptophyta; Magnoliopsida; Zingiberales; Musaceae.